GGUGCCAGCAGCCGCGGUAAUUCCAGCUCAAUAGCGUAUAUUAAAGUUGUUGCAGUUAAAAGCUCGUAGUUGAAUUUCGGGACAAUAUGUCGGUCGUACUUUGUACGUACUAGCAUUAUUGGUUUCUCCCUUCUGAAGAACCGCGAUGUCAUUAAUUUGGUGUCGUGGGGAAUCAGGACUGUUACUUUGAAAAAUUAGAGUGUUAAAGCAGGCUCGCGCUUGAAUACAUUAGCAUGGAAUAAUGAAAUAGGACGUUUGAUUCUAUUUUGUUGGUUUCUAGGAUCGACGUAAUGAUUAAUAGGGAUAGUUGGGGGCAUUAGUAUUCAAUUGUCAGAGGUGAAAUUCUUGGAUUUAUUGAAGACUAACUACUGCGAAAGCAUUUGCCAAGGAUGUUUUCAUUAAUCAAGAACGAAAGUUAGGGGAUCGAAGACGAUCAGAUACCGUCGUAGUCUUAACCAUAAACUAUGCCGACUAGGGAUCGGAUGAUGUUAAUUUUUUAAUGACUCAUUCGGCGCCUUACG
This 521-nucleotide ribosomal RNA is filed under the name uncultured Glomus. Its description in RNAcentral is "SSU rRNA". It matches the Rfam family "Eukaryotic small subunit ribosomal RNA", at positions 563 to 1092 of the family's 1831-position model. Lineage: Eukaryota; Fungi; Glomeromycota; Glomeromycetes; Glomerales; Glomeraceae. The record is from RNAcentral.